This is a long non-coding RNA of Neopelma chrysocephalum (saffron-crested tyrant-manakin), 1588 nucleotides long. RefSeq lists it as uncharacterized. Lineage: Eukaryota; Metazoa; Chordata; Aves; Passeriformes; Pipridae. The record is from RefSeq and is a predicted model, not a curated record. The transcript has 4 exons.
CAGGAAGUGAGGGGAAGGCUGCUCCCUGCCAAGAAAGUGCAGUCAGGUUUCUGGCACACACUGGGCAGGCAGAGGGCUCGUGUCUAAGGUUGGCAGGAGUGAUGCUUCUUCAAGUGCACAUGGCGCCUCCAGUCAGUCAUCGCUUGAAAAAGUAACAGAAGAGGAGAGAGGGGCAGCAGAUUAAAUGUUUGCAAGAUGUGUCCAAGGCUGAAUGCUGUAAUUUCUGGUUUUGGUGAACUGAGAGCAAAAUCCCAGGAGCCACAGGCAGCAUCACCCACCCUUGGUGGGCAGGCUGGCUGGGUCACCUCUCCACAUUCCAGCCCACAGGUAAGGAAAGCAGAAUAAUGUGCAAAACCAAGAUGAAACAGAUGUGUCAUUACGAUUCAGACAGAAAUGUAAAUCAGCUGAAGACAUCAGAACAAAAUGCCGUAACUGCCUGUCUCGUGGCUGCAGGGAUGGAUGUGGUUACAGCAGACAGAGGAAAAUCCAUUGAGAUGUGUGCUUAUCUAUCAAUUGUACCAGCUGUUUCUGGUAUGCAGCAACUGACUGACCACAGUAAGGAAACGCGGAUGUAAUCAGUUAGCAAACCGCUCCUUUCUCAGCAAGGAUGAUAAGGAUUGUUGGCAAACCCACAGAGAGUUACGGGAAUAGAGGAAUUGGUGUGCUGAAGUCACUUCCUAUCACCCGGGAGUCCCUGUGCUCAGAGCAUUGUUUGCUUUCUUAGUAUGGAUCUCGGUGUUUGUCUGCACUACUCCAGAUCUAUAAGUGCACUCACCCUGUCCCAGCACACAGAAGCCCACUCAGAGAGACUGCCAACACAAUCUUCUGUCUACCUUUGUGGGAAGGAUUCAGGCUGCCUGUGAGCAGAGAGAGUGAUUCUUUACCACAUCUUUACGCCGGCAAAACACCUUUCUGCAGAGAUAUUUGCAAAACCAGGCAUGACUUAAUCAAUUCUGGGAAGAGGCAUAUGCCAACAGAAACACUCUUUUGCCAACACAAACUGUGCUGCCACUAGAGGAGUAUCGGCAAUCCCACUCUUGUCAGUGUGGGGCCUCCACUUCACUGAUUAGGUGCUGUAUGGGUGGACAGUGCAGGAGGUUCCCAGCCAGUGAGGUCAGUGCUGAGGUGAGCCCCUUCUCCCUCAUCUGAAGAGGAAGUGGUGGCUCUUUCAGCUGCACCUGCAUCAACAGAGAAUUUACAGAAACUGAAGGUGAGCUCCUGAAUGCGCAGCUGGUUGCUGUUGCAGUCUGUAGAUGGGAAAAUAGUCUGCUGCAUUGUAUGUGGUCAACACAGAUAUGAUGAUACCUUGGCAGUAUCUGGUGUCUUUUCUGAGGUCUUGACAGCCAACUCAGAGAGGGCUUCUGCUGCAGCCCUGCGUGCAACUAAUUGCAGCCUAGCACUGAGGUUAGUAGAAUGCCACUAGAUCAAAGCUUCCUUACUGGGAAGGCUGGAGAGCCUUGACAAGGAUGAGGCAGAUCCGGUGCCAAAAAGCAUUGUGUCGCCUUGAUGUCAGCAUUUCAGGUCUAAAAAUGUGACUGGUAAAAGCAGGGGAAGCAAAAGAUUGAAUGCUACCUGCACUGCAUCCUGU